This 497-nucleotide ribosomal RNA is filed under the name uncultured bacterium. Its description in RNAcentral is "partial 16S ribosomal RNA". It matches the Rfam family "Bacterial small subunit ribosomal RNA", at positions 28 to 507 of the family's 1533-position model. The record is from RNAcentral.
GAUGAACGCUGGCGGCGUGCCUAAUACAUGCAAGUCGAGCGAACAGACGAGGAGCUUGCUCCUCUGACGUUAGCGGCGGACGGGUGAGUAACACGUGGAUAACCUACCUAUAAGACUGGGAUAACUUCGGGAAACCGGAGCUAAUACCGGAUAAUAUAUUGAACCGCAUGGUUCAAUAGUGAAAGACGGUUUUGCUGUCACUUAUAGAUGGAUCCGCGCCGCAUUAGCUAGUUGGUAAGGUAACGGCUUACCAAGGCAACGAUGCGUAGCCGACCUGAGAGGGUGAUCGGUAACCCUGGAGAGAGGACGAGGGCCCGACUCCUGAGGGAGGCAGCGGUAGGGAUUCUACGGCAAUGGGCAGAAGGUUAAAGAAGGAACGCGGCGUGAGAGAUGAAGAUCUUCGCAUCGUGAAGCACUAUUAUUUGGGAAUAACAAAUGUGUAAGUACCUAGACACGUCUUGACGGUACCGAAACAAAAAGCACCGGCUAACUACGUG